RNAcentral lists this long non-coding RNA (3136 nucleotides) under Olea europaea (common olive). RNAcentral describes it as "long non-coding RNA (OEUR_LNC008927)". The record is from RNAcentral. Lineage: Eukaryota; Viridiplantae; Streptophyta; Magnoliopsida; Lamiales; Oleaceae.
ACUCCUCUGCAAUAUCCUCCAAGCUCAUUCCCUCCUUUUGUUGUAUGAAUCCUUCAGCGAUCCAGAGACGAACCAAUUUCCACACUGGGAUUUGGCAAUCUUCUGGAAACAUCCCGAAGUAGAGAAAGCAUGCUCUCAAGUAAUAAGGUAAGUGAUUAAAACUCAAAGUUAUAAAACUGUCCAUACGUUUCUCCUGAUCCAUGGCAAUAUACGCAUCCACACUUUGAGCAACCUUUUCCCACCAAUAACUUUCAGUACCUUUUUCCAAUAGAAUUCCUCCAAUCACCACUAGUGCGAGCGGUAGUCCGCCACAUUCUCUGGCUAUAAGCCUUCCAGGUUGUAUCAACUCCUUAGGGCAUUCCUCUGCACCAAGUGCCUUUCUUUGGAGUAAUAUCCAACUUUCAUCAGAAUUUAGAAAACGCAAAUUAUGGGGCUCCCUGUUGGGGUUGGCAUGCACAGCCACUCUCCUGAUACGACUAGUCAGUAAUAUUUUGCUUCGCUUCUUAUUUCUGGGAAAAGCAAUUUUGAGAUCAUUCCAGGCAUCUUCAGUCCAGACAUCAUCCAUGACAAUUAAAUACUUCCCUUUCUCCAGGAAUUCACGAAGUUCCUUAGCUAUUUUUUCAUCAUUCAUCUUAUACAUCUCAUCACUUGGCUUAGCAAAAUGACUCCAAAUAUUGAGAAACACUUCCUUUCUAUUAUAUUCUUGAGAAACAUAAACCCAUGCUCGGUUAUAGAAUUCAUAUUCAAUUUUAGGAUCACGAUAUAUCAUUUUUGCCAGUGUUGUCUUUCCAAGGCCAGGCAUGCCAAUAAUUGAUAUAACUUCGAGUUCAUCAGGUCCUCCCAUGAGUAGAUUAGUAACAGUUUUUGCCUCAUCUUCAAAUCCCACCACAUUGUCUUCCUCUACAAUGGGAGCCUAUAUUAUAGUGAAAAAUGUUUAUUUCAGAAUCACAAAUAAUUAAAGAAUUGAUUUAAGGUUGUUCAUCUAAUUCUACUCAAUAUCUGAAAUAUCUAAAAGAUGAGUUCCUACCUUUUAGCUGGUGUCAUUUGAGAAUUUCAGAAAGUUCUCAGUUAUACAUUUCGGAAAAAUUUUACGCACUAGACUACAAAUAAGUUUCAAUAGUAUGCAAGAUAAUAGCAAGAAAACUCCUGCCUGCAGAACUUGUUAUCUUGGACUUCUACUUCGUACAACAGAAUUCAGAAUCACAUUAAGGAAUAUGAUUCAUGUCCAUACUUAGCGAUGGAGCAUGUAAAAAGAUAAGUUUUAUGUACAUUCAGAAAAAAGAAACUUGGAAAUCCUAACAAUUGUUUGACAUACCAGUUUAGUAAUAAAAAGGAAAGUUUUUUAUGGUGCACCAAUUUUGAAGAAUUAAUUCAAUCUGGAUCUUCAUAUAAAAUUUUGCUCCUUGAGUUCUCAAUGGUAGUACAAUUAUGAAGCCAGGAGAGUAACUAGAUUAAAAAAUGUUUUACCUGUGAAGGAAGCAUUUUUGAGCUCGAAGGAAUGGAGGUCAUUGAUCUGGAGGAUAAACGGAGAGCUUAAAUACAAUGCCUUUGUUGCCUUGCUUCUCAGCCUCAUCUUUCAUCGUUUUCUUAUACUGCUGGAUUUUCCGGGCAGAAGCAGCAGCUGAUUUGGUGGUACAGUACAAGUCAAUUAUCUGGAGGCUUAAAACAUCUGCAAGGCUGACUGGGACUGCUUCGAGGCUAGUGCAGUGUUUAAGAUAAAGACUCCUGAGUCUUGGGAAGUGAUGAGUCAAAGCAUGCCAAUGAACUAAAUCUGUCCUUCCAAUAAACAAGACUUUGAGAGCACGGAAACCUCCAUCCUCCGGCUGCCACCACUCUCCCUUAAAUGCAUUGUCUUUCAACUUUAGGAUCUCAAGGCUUUCCAACAUUCCCAAUGUAGCCAUUUGACUCCAAUCAAGAAGGGUGUCUGCCAGUGUUAGUUUCUUUAGCUUUGGUGGAAAUUUAUACCUUUGGGGAAGGCCAGCUAGUUUGCCUUCCGAAGGAGGCAAAGGAAAUACAUCAUUUAAUAGCUUCAAAUUUUCAAGGUAAUCCAAUUUUCCCAGGCUAUCAAACAAACUCGACACACCUUUGGGUUCCAAAAGUUUAGCUAAUUUGCCACGAAUACCCAAUUUCUUUAGGUUUGGAGCUCUGGCAAAUACAUCUUCUGUACAACUUUCAGGUGAGAUUGUAGAAAUUGUUUUUAGGUUAGCAUUUAUCAGGGAAUCAUCUUUACUUUUUCUUGAUUUAGCAAGAGGACCAUGUAAAAAUGUGGAUGCAUUUGUUUUUAGAUGCCUCAGUUGUAUCAUCUUCCAUAUAUCUCCUUUGAUUUCAAGGGUUCGUUCUGAAGUCUCAACUAUAAGAGUUUGCAUGUUCCAAAGGCUAGAAAUGGGAGAAGGAAGGAUCUUGAAAUUGCUGGACAGAACAAGAUACCUCAAAUGAACGAGUUGAGCUAGAUCAGUAGGAAAACGAGUGAAAAAAAUGGGUUUAGCAUCUAAAACCCUGAGCAAUUUAAAUGCUCCAGGGAUGGAGGAAGUGUGUUCAGCUUGCAGAAUAAUUUCUUCAGAAGAGAAACACAAGAAAGACCGAACACGUGGACCAAAUGGUUUUGAAGAGAUAUAACUCCAAACACGGGAAUGAAUGCAAAGGCGACGAUACGAUUCCAAGUAAGGAUUGGAAGACGAAUAGGUAACUUGAUCAAACCGUUUAAUUUCUUGGAAGAAGUUUUCCUCUGCAGCUUGAUUCUUGCAGAACACGUGUAGCAUGUCAUGAACAUGGCAUGUUUUAACUUUUCCAUUUGACCUCCGUUCUCCAACCAUGACUAAAUUCCUGUUGACAAGAUCGUCUAAGUACUCCUCCGCAAUAUCCUCCAAGCUCAUUCCCUCCUUUUGUUGUAUGAAUCCUUCAGCGAUCCACAGGCGAACCAAUUUCCACACUGGGAUUUGGCAAUCUUCUGGAAACAUCCCGAAGUAGAGAAAGCAUGCUCUCAAGUAAUAAGGUAAGUGAUUAAAACUCAAAGUUAUAAAACUGUCCAUACGUUUCUCCUGAUCCAUGGCAAUAUAUGCAUCCACACUUUGAGCAACCUUAUCCCACCAAUAACUUUCAGUACCUUUUUCCAGUAGAAUUCCUCCAAUCACCACUA